AGUUUUAAGGACUAAUCGAUAAAUUCUCUCUUUAUCGAACUUAAAUAGUCCUAAGGACUUCAUCAUAACAACGGAGUUCAUUAGAAGAUGAAAGCUUAUGAUGAAAAUGCCAAAUAUAUUUUAUUUAUUAACAAAUCAAUUACAAUACUUGGUUGCUCAACCGUCAACAGCUUGACGAUUGGCUUUUUGGGACACAUUUCCCAAC
RNAcentral lists this long non-coding RNA (205 nucleotides) under Elaeis guineensis (African oil palm). RNAcentral's name for it is "long non-coding RNA (EGUI_LNC047982)". Lineage: Eukaryota; Viridiplantae; Streptophyta; Magnoliopsida; Arecales; Arecaceae. The record is from RNAcentral.